UCAGUACACCAGCCUACACUAGGUAACACACCCCGUACCCCAUUCAGUACACCAGCCUGCACUAGGUAACACACCCCGUACCCCAUUCAGUACACCAGCCUACACUAGGUAACACACCCCAUUCAGUACACCAGCCUACACUAGGUAACACACCCCGUACCCCAUUCAGUACACCAGCCUGCACUAGGUAACACACCCCGUACCCCAUUCAGUACACCAGCCUACACUAGGUAACACACCCCGUACCCCAUUCAGUACACCAGCCUGCACUAGGUAACACACCCCGUACCCCAUUCAGUACACCAGCCUACACUAGGUAACACACCCCGUACCCCAUUCAGUACACCAGCCUGCACUAGGUAACACACCCCGUACCCCAUUCAGUACACCAGCCUACACUAGGUAACACACCCCGUACCCCAUUCAGUACACCAGCCUGCACUAGGUAACACACCCCGUACCCCAUUCAGUACACCAGCCUACACUAGGUAACACACCCCGUACCCCAUUCAGUACACCAGCCUGCACUAGGUAACACACCCCGUACCCCAUUCAGUACACCAGCCUACACUAGGUAACACACCCCGUACCCCAUUCAGUACACCAGCCUGCACUAGGUAACACACCCCGUACCCCAUUCAGUACACCAGCCUACACUAGGUAACACACCCCGUACCCCAUUCAGUACACCAGCCUGCACUAGGUAACACACCCCGUACCCCAUUCAGUACACCAGCCUACACUAGGUAACACACCCCGUACCCCAUUCAGUACACCAGCCUGCACUAGGUAACACACCCCGUACCCCAUUCAGUACACCAGCCUACACUAGGUAACACACCCCGUACCCCAUUCAGUACACCAGCCUGCACUAGGUAACACACCCCGUACCCCAUUCAGUACACCAGCCUACACUAGGUAACACACCCCGUACCCCAUUCAGUACACCAGCCUGCACUAGGUAACACACCCCGUACCCCAUUCAGUACACCAGCCUACACUAGGUAACACACCCCAUUCAGUACACCAGCCUACACUAGGUAACACACCCCAUUCAGUACACCAGCCUACACUAGGUAACACACCUCGUACCCCAUUCAGUACACCAGCCUGCACUAAGUAACACACACUGUACCACGUUGUAUGUUUAUACACACACAGCAUAGAAACGGAUA
Molecule: long non-coding RNA, 1175 nt
Organism: Oncorhynchus keta (chum salmon)
Lineage: Eukaryota; Metazoa; Chordata; Actinopteri; Salmoniformes; Salmonidae
Exons: 6
Source: RefSeq, a predicted model, not a curated record